GGUGUGUGCCUGUAAUCCCAGCUACAAGGGAGGCUGAGACAGGAGAAUCGCUUGAACCCAGGAUGUGCAGGUUGCAGUGAGCCAAGAUCACAUCAGUGUAUUCCAGCCUGGAUGACAGAGCAAAACUCCGUCUCAAAAGAAAACAACAAAGAAAGAACUUGUGCCCCUUACUCCUGCCACCUGGACAAGUCCUCAACUGCUUUCCCAUGAGAUAAAGCUGGUGGGAACCUCAUUCCCAUUUGACAGAUGAGAAGUGUGGCUCUGGAGAGGAGUCGAGACUUCUCUAAGGUCACACAGCCAGGGAGGUGGAUGUUAGGGUACCUGCCUCUGGUUGGGAGAAGCAUGGUGGACACGGAACUAGUGGAUUUGACAGGUGGGGGUGGCCCCCUAUUCACCUCUGUUGCUCCCGAACUCCAGAGUGACAGAGCUGGCCCUGGCAGUGGAGCGUCUUCACAAGCAGAAUCUGGAGAAGGAUCAGGUCAACAAGGACGUUGACGAAAAGUUUGAGGCCCUGGUCCAGAUGCUGCCUCUGAAAACCCAGCUGCCCACCCGUACACAGCUUGAUUUGGUCACCCCUCUGUGAGGCCUGGCCUGGGUUCUAGGUCCGGCUCUCCUCCAAUUGACUUUGUGACCAGUGGCAGGACACAACUCUUCUCUGGGCCUGGUCUGUUCAGUGAGGGCCUCGGGCCUGCUAUGGGGUCUACCAAGUGGCUGGCCUAUGGACAUGGCUUCAGAGGCCACCUGGAAUCCCUGUGGCUACAGGAACAGGCGGCCCUGGAGACAGAGGAUGGAGAGGGGCUACAGUAGAGCCUAAGGGACCUGGCACAGGUGUGAGCCCAGAGAGGUGGGAAGACAGGGCCCUGCCAGGCAGUCCCAGGCUCCCCUGCCACGUCUUUCGGUGGCCUGGGACUGAACUGCAAAUGGGUGGGGGCCUGGGACCCAGGCUGUAGCUGCUCAGCACCCCUGCUAGCUCACCCGGCCUCUGCCCUGGGGAGCCCCCAGUCUCAGAGGGGAGGCACGGCCCUUUCGGAGCCCACCUGUGAGCAACACCAAAUGACGUCUUCGCAAUAAAUGGGAGGCCUCAGUGGCGAGCUGAGGACUGAGCUAGUGGAGGAGGUGAAAUCAGGAAGGCUUCUUGCGGUCCUGUCUGACGCUGAGAGCGGCAGCCUGAGUCCAACAGCGUCAGGUGGCAGCCCAUGGGGGCUCUCGGGCCAGAGGACCCCAUUCCCACCACGGCACUCCUCGCAGGGCCGAGGCAGUUCGCCCAGCCAAGGCCCCUCCCCGGCCUGCUCAGACUCCUGCACUCUCCCUCUGAUCCCAUCCACUCCGCCCUGCACAAGCGCCAGCUGCAGGACAUGCGUGGGCGCUAUGAGGCAAGCCAGGACCUGCUGGGCACCCUGCGGAGGCAGCUUAGCGACAGCGAGAGUGAUCGGGGGUCCUAGAGGAACAGCUGCAGCGCCUGCGGGACAAGACCGGGGGCGCCAUGCAGGCCCACGAAGAAGCUCAGCGCAAGGUGCAGCGGGUGCGGAGCACCAAAGAGCUCCUGAGCAGGUGCUCGGGAGGUCUGAGCUGGGGGGUGCUGAAGAAUAAGUCAGCGUCUGGGUAUAACACCAGUCGAGCGUUACGGGUGUGCCUCUGCACUAAU
Molecule: long non-coding RNA, 1645 nt
Organism: Pongo pygmaeus (Bornean orangutan)
Lineage: Eukaryota; Metazoa; Chordata; Mammalia; Primates; Hominidae
Exons: 5
Source: RefSeq, a predicted model, not a curated record